CCAACCAGACAAUCCUUGAUUAACUUCAAAAAUAAAUUUUAAUAUUCUCUAAUAAUCAUAUUCAAGCUAAAACUAUUACAAAUCCUAACGCAAAGAACAAACCAUAGUCUAUGCAUACACAAGAAAGUUCAUAAGAGACAAAAUUUAGAAGGCCAAAAUACAUGACUAUUCAACCUAAUAAUUCUAGAUGCCACACUACAGCUAAGCUAAAAACAAACUCUCUAUCUCUUGAUUCAAGAAUGUACAUGGUGCCUUAUUGCAGACAAGUUGAUUAAUGAGCUAAUGCGGAAAGGUAUCAAUCUAGUUCACCCCAUGGUCCAAAAAACUUGCUGUCAAUGGAGCCAAAACACGGGCUACCCUCGGUAGUGUUGGGUAAGUAAGUGUGCCAAGUAUGAACCAGUUGAAGCUUAGGAGAGCAACUGCAUCAGAAGCAGGUUUGUUCUUUAUGGUAGAGAAAAACUGAACCACACUUUUCAGUGACAUGCCAACAACAGCAAAAAGAGCUACAACAAGGGGCAUGCAGGGGUCUUCAGCUUCCCAGAUAAUGAUUCCGACCAAAAGGGAUAAUACUGCACUGAAUAGGGACUGUGAAAGUGCAACAUCCCUUCUCUGGCCCACACCCUCAUUCAUGUCUAAGCUCCUUGAGAUGAUGCAGUGUGAAAAUGAAUGGAUGGACCCUCUUGCUUUGCACUCAUUUUUCCAGAAAUUGAAUAAUUCUGCUUCCCUCUUGCCCUCACCUUCCCAGGCCUCUUUAUGCAUCAUCAGGUCUUCAAAUAUGAUUCCACUUCCUUUAUCACAUGAUUGGCUCUUAUCUGAAAUGCCAUGCUUUUCAGUAUUGUCAAUACCAAUAUUCUGUACAUUGUCUGCGCCAUCACUUCCUUUAAUGCUCCAACGAUCUUGACCCAGAAUUUCUUUCAGCUGAAGAUUUUCAACUUUCAGAUCCUGCAACUCUUAAGAAUCACAUUGUUGAACUCAUUGAAUUCUCAAGAUUCAUAGAAGAUGAAGAAUGGGGCCAUGCACAUGUGAUCUCCAUUAUUCUUCCUGACAUUUAUCUAGCUGUUCCAUCACUCCUAAGUCAAUUUCUCUCUCAAAAUUCAACUUUGAACCGUUCAGAUUUCAGUAAGAGAGGGAGAAUGAUCAAGUGUACCUGCCUCCCUAUAGGGGAGCUUGAACUCUAAUUGCAACCCAAUCCUUUCAUGUGGUAAGGACCCAUCCACAAGAUGUUGUGGGCAUCUUAGGAAAAAGAGUUUAAGUAAUUUUUUAAUUUUAUAUUCCAAAAGGCUAUUUUAACAACAUUAUAAAUCUUUUCUCUAUAUAAAGAUGUAGGCAUAACCAUUUUUUAUUAUUAAGGUUAUUCGGGGUCAAGAACCUAAGGUAGCGAUCACAGUAAUAUUAACAUGCGAAUCAUAAAUGUUUAUAAACAAAACUAUCCACCAUAAGGUUAUUAUGCAUCUAAGUUGAAAUUAUUGUUCAUUACCAGCUUGUGAACUUGUAGGAAAAAAAUGCAAUUAGGAUUAUAAUAUCGUAAUCUCACAGGAAACUUCAUCACUAAAUAAUAUAUUGCGAAAUUUUUGCAAUGUUCAAGUUUCUGUUCUUUAGGUAUCUGUUUAGGUAUAAACAGCAUAUCACAUUCUCAUUAACAAUUAAAUAAUAAUCAGUCUAUUGGUUGAUUCAAGCUAAUUGAAAUUGAAUGUUGAAAUAACAUUCAAAAAGAAACAAUUGUACCCUAUUUUCUGUCUUGGUUGAACAACUGAAGCUAUUGUACAGACAAAUUAUUAUGUACAUAUGCAAAGAAAAAAAAAUGCACAAAUUUACUUUACAAUCAUUGUAAAUGCCAACCAUCAAUAUGCGACAUAAAUAUGCAAUCUUAAUAAUUUUCUACCAUCUAAGGGAUUUAGCAAGCUAAUAUGCACACUUUUAUCUUUUUUUUUCUUGCUAUAUCUUUGCUUUUCUAAAUUGUCUCAUACAAAUUUAUGUGAAAAGGAGGGUGGAGCCACUCUAAAAGAAUUGUACAUGGCUCUGCAACCGAUCAAGCAAUUUUCUACAUAAAACUUCAUUUUAUAACUUAAUUUUUAUAUGAUCUUUUGCAAUGAAGAAGCUAAUUCCCCUUGAUUCAAUGAAAUCAAACUCUAGUUUUACCACUUCAUAAGUUUUUCUUAUCGAUCAAAG
RNAcentral lists this unclassified non-coding RNA (2169 nucleotides) under Hevea brasiliensis (rubber tree). Lineage: Eukaryota; Viridiplantae; Streptophyta; Magnoliopsida; Malpighiales; Euphorbiaceae. The record is from RNAcentral.